Molecule: ribosomal RNA, 252 nt
Filed under: uncultured bacterium
Lineage: Bacteria
Description: partial 16S ribosomal RNA
Rfam family: Bacterial small subunit ribosomal RNA
Source: RNAcentral
ACGAAAGGUGCAAGCGUUGUUCGGAUUUACUGGGCGUAAAGAGAUCGUAGGUGGUUUGUUAAGUCGGAUGUGAAAUCCCAAGGCUCAACCUUGGAACUGCAUUCGAUACUGGCAGGCUAGAGUUUGGGAGGGGUAAGCGGAAUUCCGUGUGUAGCAGUGAAAUGCGUAGAUAUACGGAGGAACACCUGAGGCGAAGGCGGCUUACUGGACCAAUACUGACACUGAGGAUCGAAAGCGUGGGUAGCAAACAGG